This 1488-nucleotide ribosomal RNA is filed under the name uncultured Bacteroides sp. Its description in RNAcentral is "bacterial SSU rRNA". It matches the Rfam family "Bacterial small subunit ribosomal RNA". The record is from RNAcentral. Lineage: Bacteria; Pseudomonadati; Bacteroidota; Bacteroidia; Bacteroidales; Bacteroidaceae.
GAGUUUGAUCCUGGCUCAGGAUGAACGCUAGCUACAGGCUUAACACAUGCAAGUCGAGGGGCAGCAUGGUCUUAGCUUGCUAAGGCCGAUGGCGACCGGCGCACGGGUGAGUAACACGUAUCCAACCUGCCGUCUACUCUUGGACAGCCUUCUGAAAGGAAGAUUAAUACAAGAUGGCAUCAUGAGUCCACAUGUUCACAUGAUUAAAGGUAUUCCGGUAGACGAUGGGGAUGCGUUCCAUUAGAUAGUAGGCGGGGUAACGGCCCACCUAGUCUUCGAUGGAUAGGGGUUCUGAGAGGAAGGUCCCCCACAUUGGAACUGAGACACGGUCCAAACUCCUACGGGAGGCAGCAGUGAGGAAUAUUGGUCAAUGGGCGAGAGCCUGAACCAGCCAAGUAGCGUGAAGGAUGACUGCCCUAUGGGUUGUAAACUUCUUUUAUAAAGGAAUAAAGUCGGGUAUGCAUACCCGUUUGCAUGUACUUUAUGAAUAAGGAUCGGCUAACUCCGUGCCAGCAGCCGCGGUAAUACGGAGGAUCCGAGCGUUAUCCGGAUUUAUUGGGUUUAAAGGGAGCGUAGAUGGAUGUUUAAGUCAGUUGUGAAAGUUUGCGGCUCAACCGUAAAAUUGCAGUUGAUACUGGAUAUCUUGAGUGCAGUUGAGGCAGGCGGAUUUCGUGGGUGUAGCGGUGAAAUGCUUAGAUAUCACGAAGAACUCCGAUUGCGAAGGCAGCGUGCUAAGCUGCAACUGACAUUGAGGCUCGAAAGUGUGGGUAUCAAACAGGAUUAGAUACCCUGGUAGUCCACACGGUAAACGAUGAAUACUCGCUGUUUGCGAUAUACUGCAAGCGGCCAAGCGAAAGCGUUAAGUAUUCCACCUGGGGAGUACGCCGGCAACGGUGAAACUCAAAGGAAUUGACGGGGGCCCGCACAAGCGGAGGAACAUGUGGUUUAAUUCGAUGAUACGCGAGGAACCUUACCCGGGCUUAAAUUGCAGAUGAAUUACGGUGAAAGCCGUAAGCCGCAAGGCAUCUGUGAAGGUGCUGCAUGGUUGUCGUCAGCUCGUGCCGUGAGGUGUCGGCUUAAGUGCCAUAACGAGCGCAACCCUUGUUGUCAGUUACUAACAGGUUCCGCUGAGGACUCUGACAAGACUGCCAUCGUAAGAUGUGAGGAAGGUGGGGAUGACGUCAAAUCAGCACGGCCCUUACGUCCGGGGCUACACACGUGUUACAAUGGGGGGUACAGAGGGCCGCUACCACGCGAGUGGAUGCCAAUCCCAAAAACCUCUCUCAGUUCGGACUGGAGUCUGCAACCCGACUCCACGAAGCUGGAUUCGCUAGUAAUCGCGCAUCAGCCACGGCGCGGUGAAUACGUUCCCGGGCCUUGUACACACCGCCCGUCAAGCCAUGGGAGCCGGGGGUACCUGAAGUGCGUAACCGCGAGGAGCGCCCUAGGGUAAAACUGGUGACUGGGGCUAAGUCGUAACAAGGUAAC